This 225-nucleotide ribosomal RNA is filed under the name uncultured Acinetobacter sp. Its description in RNAcentral is "partial 16S ribosomal RNA". It matches the Rfam family "Bacterial small subunit ribosomal RNA", at positions 568 to 792 of the family's 1533-position model. Lineage: Bacteria; Pseudomonadati; Pseudomonadota; Gammaproteobacteria; Moraxellales; Moraxellaceae. The record is from RNAcentral.
CGCGUAGGUGGUUUGUUAAGUUGGAUGUGAAAUCCCUGAGCUUAACUUAGGAAUUGCAUUCGAUACUGGAAAGCUAGAGUAUGGGAGAGGAUGGUAGAAUUCCAGGUGUAGCGGUGAAAUGCGUAGAGAUCUGGAGGAAUACCGAUGGCGAAGGCAGCCAUCUGGCCUAAUACUGACGCUGAGGUACGAAAGCAUGGGGAGCAAACAGGAUUAGAUACCCUAGUA